AACGAACGCUGGCGGCAUGCCUAACACAUGCAAGUCGAACGAGUGCCUUCGGGUGCUAGUGGCGCACGGGUGCGUAACGCGUGGGAAUCUGCCCUUAGGUUCGGAAUAACAGCUGGAAACGGCUGCUAAUACCGGAUGAUAUCGCGAGAUCAAAGAUUUAUCGCCUGAGGAUGAGCCCGCGUUGGAUUAGGUAGUUGGUGGGGUAAAGGCCUACCAAGCCGACGAUCCAUAGCUGGUCUGAGAGGAUGAUCAGCCACACUGGGACUGAGACACGGCCCAGACUCCUACGGGAGGCAGCAGUGGGGAAUAUUGGACAAUGGGCGCAAGCCUGAUCCAGCAAUGCCGCGUGAGUGAUGAAGGCCCUAGGGUUGUAAAGCUCUUUUACCCGGGAAGAUAAUGACUGUACCGGGAGAAUAAGCCCCGGCUAACUCCGUGCCAGCAGCCGCAGUAA
This 451-nucleotide ribosomal RNA is filed under the name uncultured bacterium. Its description in RNAcentral is "partial 16S ribosomal RNA". It matches the Rfam family "Bacterial small subunit ribosomal RNA", at positions 29 to 523 of the family's 1533-position model. The record is from RNAcentral.